CUCAGGAAUGUACCGAUCCCAUAUAAUAUCUUCCCUCCUAUGCCUAGAAGGAAUAAUACUUUCCCUAUUUGUAAUAAUGACUAUCACCAUCCUAAAUACCCAUCUCACACUAGCAACCAUGCUACCUAUUAUCUUACUAGUGUUCGCGGCCUGCGAAGCAGCACUAGGCCUCUCCCUCUUAGUUAUAGUAUCUACUACUUAUGGAACAGAUUAUGUCCAAAACCUUAACCUUCUCAAAUGUUAAAAAUCAUUGUACCCACUAUCAUGCUCAUCCCCCUUACCUGAUUCUCCAAACCAAAAAUAAUCUGAAUCAAUACUACAAUCCACAGUCUGAUAAUUAGCAUCCUAUGAUUUCCUCUCAUAAAUCAAUUCGCCGACAACAGUCUCAACCUAUCCACAAUAUUCUUUUCUGACGCCCUAUCCACCCCACUACUCAUACUAACAAUAUGGCUACUGCCCUUAAUAAUUAUCGCCAGUCAAUUCCACUUAUCUAACGAAACUCCACCCCGAAAAAAACUCUAUCUUACUAUAUUAAUCUCACUCCAAACGUUUCUAAUUAUAACUUUCACCGCCACAGAACUUAUCAUAUUCUACAUCCUAUUUGAAGCCACCUUACUCCCAACCCUAAUCAUUAUUACACGAUGAGGAAACCAAGCAGAACGCCUAAAUGCAGGACUAUGUUUCCC
Molecule: long non-coding RNA, 686 nt
Organism: Phyllostomus discolor (pale spear-nosed bat)
Lineage: Eukaryota; Metazoa; Chordata; Mammalia; Chiroptera; Phyllostomidae
Exons: 3
Source: RefSeq, a predicted model, not a curated record